GUGCUGAGGCGGGGCGGUCUGGAGAGUGUAGGUGGGCCGUUUGAGGGCAGGGUGCGGGGUCACAAACUCGGGGGAGUUAAGAUUGAAAGAACGUGCUGAGUGGAGGGAAGCGCGGUUUUCGUCAGGUGGAAAGGGCACAGGGCUGUGCACAAGGCAGACUGUGCAGGGGAAGGCUGUUGAAAGAAGACUGCCAGGUGAACCAAGUGGCCUUUCUACUGGCUGAUGCUGUUUCAGGAAUGCUGCUGACCUCAGCACUGGUGCUAGAGACUGCUGUCCGGGGCCGUGUCCCCGCACUGGGCACUGCUGCACGUCUGACUGGAUGGGAAUUUCCAGUAAUGUGGAUUUCUUGACCGCUGAGUUCUUGCUGCUCUCUGAACCUUCUGCUGCUGCUGCAGGCAGAGCUGAGCUCUUCAUGCGGCACAGAGGACCACAACCUUCCCUCUGGCUGCUUCGUCUGUUGCCUUUUGUGCUGCAGCAUGGGUUCCUAUAUUGCCCAAAUCAUUGCUCUGCAAUUAAGACCCCAGCAAAGGGACCAUUAGGAAAUCAAACCCGUUGUGGGGGAAAAAAAAAAAAAUGAGUCCCCAUAGUUGGCGUUACUGUUAUGAAAAUAAAGAAGUAAAUUUCCCCAUUUGCUCUGAAUGAUUUUUCAGUUUAUUCACUGCAUGAAGCCAACUGAUCACACCAAGGGGAUUAUUUACACGUACGCAUGCAGGGCAGCAGAGAGACGCGGGGCGGAUAUGGUGAGCUGGUGGAGAGGCAGAGCUGGCUGUGUGAGGGAUGCUUUGCAUAGCUGUGUCAGAAUGAAGUGGUUGUAGCUGCAGAUUAUCUGGCUCGUGGACUUCCUGUGCUUUGUGCUACUCCUGUGUGAGGUAAAGCAAGCCAGAGUACAUGAAGGAAAGUUAAAAUUAAAAAGAAAAAAAAAACCCUUUAGAUUGAAACGUUGUGUUUGCAAAUAAAUAGAAAUAUUCUGCUGUU
Gallus gallus (chicken) is the source of this 975-nucleotide long non-coding RNA. RefSeq lists it as uncharacterized. NCBI's taxonomy places the organism in Eukaryota, Metazoa, Chordata, Aves, Galliformes, Phasianidae. The record is from RefSeq and is a predicted model, not a curated record. The transcript has 2 exons.